RNAcentral lists this ribosomal RNA (185 nucleotides) under uncultured beta proteobacterium. RNAcentral describes it as "partial 16S ribosomal RNA". It matches the Rfam family "Bacterial small subunit ribosomal RNA", at positions 349 to 529 of the family's 1533-position model. The record is from RNAcentral. Lineage: Bacteria; Pseudomonadati; Pseudomonadota; Betaproteobacteria.
GGGCUGGAGGGAAUUUUGGACAAUGGGGGCAACCCUGAUCCAGCAAUGCCGCGUGAGUGAAGAAGGCUUCGGGUUGUAAAGCUCUUUUGUCAGGGAAGAAACAGCAGCUCUAACACAGUCUGCGAAUGACGGUACCUGAAGAAUAAGCACCGGCUAACUACUAGCCCCCCCGCGGAAAUUAAAAA